CAAGAUUAGAAGUAUGUAACC
RNAcentral lists this microRNA (21 nucleotides) under Prunus persica (peach). Its description in RNAcentral is "microRNA miRNA_9". The record is from RNAcentral. Lineage: Eukaryota; Viridiplantae; Streptophyta; Magnoliopsida; Rosales; Rosaceae.